UCUAGAACUCGUCUCCGAAUCAUUAGUGCAUCAAACUGUUUGUUCUCAUCAUAGCAUUGAUGAUGGUAGACAGGAACUCGUCUUCUCUCCGGCGUCUCUCCUGUCCUGUGUUGGCAUUGUUCAUGCUAUCAAUAAGCUUCAUAGUGGUCUACCAGGUUUGAAUUUAGCUGUAUCCCUUCAUGCACCAGUUCAAGAGUUUUUUGCCAGAUAAUGCCUGCAGCUCAAGCUUUUCCUCUGGAAAAACUUAUGAAUGCACUUCAUGCAUAUCAAAAGAAUAGUCAGCAAAAAAUAUUUAUUGAGUACAUCAUGCUGGAUAAGGUGAAUGAUGAAGAGCCACAUGCUCACCAGCUUGGCAAACUGCCAGAGACAUCUCAAGUGGUGAGCUCUUAAAUUUUAAAGUUGGAGCACGGGGAAUAAUUUUGUUAUUUUGUCCUUGUAACAGCCUUUAUUACAUCCGUGCUAAUCUAUGGAUAAACCCAAGAAAGAGAAGAAGAUUGUAAA
Mangifera indica (mango) is the source of this 501-nucleotide long non-coding RNA. RefSeq lists it as uncharacterized. Lineage: Eukaryota; Viridiplantae; Streptophyta; Magnoliopsida; Sapindales; Anacardiaceae. The transcript has 3 exons. The record is from RefSeq and is a predicted model, not a curated record.